Molecule: long non-coding RNA, 1606 nt
Filed under: Homo sapiens (human)
Lineage: Eukaryota; Metazoa; Chordata; Mammalia; Primates; Hominidae
Description: long non-coding RNA NONHSAT208948.1
Source: RNAcentral
GCGUCUCCACUUUCACCCUGGUACUGAGAGGUUGAGCACAAAAUUGGAACGCAGUCGCGGGGUAUAUCCCCCUGAAAACCGUACGUUGCCAAAUAAUGAUUUCUUUGGAUUAGAGAACUACAACUCCCCUGGGUCCUGAGCCGGUAUUUCCCUUUUGCGGCUGCACCGUAGUUAAAAACAAAGCUAAGUGUUCUGGGACGUAUAGUUCUAGCGUUCCUUGGGUCCCGCUGGCGAGCGUGGGCUUUCUGCAGCUCGCAACCGGCCUCGUGCUUUGCGGACGGUUCACUGCGCUUGGAAAGGGAUUGGCCUGGGGUACAUCAUCUAAAGAUCCUAGGAUUGCUGCAGGUCAGCAGUCUCCACUGGAAAAAAAGAUCUUGCAUGUAUUUCAAGUCCUCUGAUGAAUCAUGUGAUCUACUAGACCCUGAAGAUACAGUGAAGAGCAAAAGAACACAGAUGAAAUGAGAAACAAAAACGAUGGAGAAAACCAAAAAAGGGGACACAUGGGAUCCAGGCAAUAGGAGAGCCAGCAUAAGAGAGAGCCAGAGGGAUGCCCAGGAUGAGGUGAAGACGAUCUUGGAAAUCAGCCCAGAUGUGCAUGCACCAGUCCACGUGUGGCAGGACCAAGGGAAGUGUCUUCACAAAGAUGAGGCUUUGAUUUGUUGGAGAAACUGUUACCAGAAAAACAGGUCCCGAUCCCGACCCCAAAAGAGUAUUCUUGGAUCUUGCACAGGAAGGAAUUAAAGGAAUCUUCUCCUUUAAUUAACCCAUCAACCUCUCAUGGCAAGAAUUUGAAAAAGUAAAUUUAUACUCAGAUUCUAAUUUUAAUAGGGAAGUAAGAAGUUACAGCUCAGUGCACAUAAAGUUGAGACAGAGAUGGAGACAUCUCAGCCUCACCUCUAUGGAGCAGGAAUGAUUAAUUAUUGGAGACGGAACACAGCAGAAACCACAGCUCCAGUGACUACAGCUCCAAGGAGAACCAGGCCAGCAACGAUACCCACGAUGGGGAUGGUGGGCUGAGAAGACUGCUCUGGGAAAAAAGGGGAAGAAGGCACCACCACAGCUGCCCACUUCUGGAAGGUUCCAUCCCCUGCAGGCCUGGUCUCUAGAAGCUCCAUGUCCCGAGUCUGGUCCUCUCCAUCCUGCUGCCAGGAUCUGGAAACCCAGGAGGAUUCCUCUCCCUCAGGACCAGAGAGAGGACGACAUUCUAGUGUUGGUCCCAUUUUCCUUCUCUCUUUGUGGGAAGCCAGCCCAGGAGAUCUACAGGCGAUCAGGGAGGCGUCUUGUGUUCCCUGGUACCCGUGAGCUGCAGCGUCUCCUUCCCGUUCUCCAGGUGUCUGCGAGCCUCUCCACGCACGUGCCCUCCAGUGGUCCUGCUCCUGUGAGUCAGAGUGUGUCAUUUCCUCACCUAAAACACUCCAGUGGCUCCACCUCGGUCUUGUGAAGCUUCUAGAAUGUCAGGCACGUGAGCAUAUGAGGGCAUACCUGGUUCAUCUUAGGCACUAAAUUUUUGUUGACUGAAUGAAUGAAAUAUGAAUGUAUUAAAUUGCAUCACAGAAAGUUAUAAAAUGUAAAACACUGAAAAAUUAAGAAAUAUUUUAUUUUAUGU